RNAcentral lists this ribosomal RNA (253 nucleotides) under uncultured bacterium. RNAcentral's name for it is "partial 16S ribosomal RNA". It matches the Rfam family "Bacterial small subunit ribosomal RNA", at positions 524 to 776 of the family's 1533-position model. The record is from RNAcentral.
UACGUAGGGUGCAAGCGUUGUCCGGAAUUAUUGGGCGUAAAGAGCUCGUAGGCGGUCAGUCGCGUCUGCUGUGAAAACUCGGGGCUUAACUCCGGGCCUGCAGUGGGUACGGGCUGACUAGAGGUAGGUAGGGGAGAAUGGAAUUCCCGGUGUAGCGGUGAAAUGCGCAGAUAUCGGGAGGAACACCGGUGGCGAAGGCGGUUCUCUGGGCCUUACCUGACGCUGAGGAGCGAAAGCGUGGGGAGCGAACAGG